RNAcentral lists this ribosomal RNA (253 nucleotides) under uncultured bacterium. RNAcentral's name for it is "partial 16S ribosomal RNA". It matches the Rfam family "Bacterial small subunit ribosomal RNA", at positions 524 to 776 of the family's 1533-position model. The record is from RNAcentral.
GACAGAGGUGCCAAGCGUUAGGCGGAAUCACUGGGCUUGAAGAGUGCGUAGGCGGUUUCGUAAGUAGGGGGUGAAAGCCCUCGGCUCAACCGGGGAAUUGCGUCCUAAACUGCGAGGCUGGAGUGAGGUAGGGGUGUGCGGAACUUCCAGUGGAGCGGUGAAAUGUGUUGAUAUUGGAAGGAACGCCGGUGGCGAAAGCGGCACACUGGACCUUGUCUGACGCUGAGGCACGAAAGCCAGGGGAGCAAACGGG